AUACGUAGGUGACAAGCGUUAUCCGGAUUUACUGGGCGUAAAGGGCGUGUAGGCGGUCUUGCAAGUCAGAAGUGAAAUUCCUGAGCUCAACUCGGGCGCUGCUUCUGAAACUGCAGGACUUGAGUGCUGGAGGGGAUAGCGGAAUUCCUAGUGGAGCGGUAAAAUGCGCAGUUAUUAGGAAGAACACCGGUGUCGAAGGCGAUGAUCGGGACAGUAACUGAAGUGGAGGCGCGAACGGGUAGGGACCAAACAGGAUUUGAAAACCUGGGAGUCCACGCCGUAAACGAUGAAUACUAAGUGUAGGGUGUAUCCACUCCCUCUGUGCUGCAGUUAACGCAAUAAGGAUUCCGCCUGGGGAGUACGGCCGCAAGGUGGAAGCUCAAAGGAAUUGACGGGG
This 397-nucleotide ribosomal RNA is filed under the name uncultured bacterium. RNAcentral describes it as "partial 16S ribosomal RNA". It matches the Rfam family "Bacterial small subunit ribosomal RNA", at positions 523 to 918 of the family's 1533-position model. The record is from RNAcentral.